GACUCCAGAUUCCACACUCCAGAGUCUCUUCUUCUAGUCGUCUCUAUUUCUUGUGGAGUUGACUCCUUCUUUUUCCCUUUCUUGUCUUCUUUUUGGUUUUUCUGGUCUUGUUUCUUGAAAUCUUCGAGAGGGUUGGGUCGAGUUUCAGAAGAAUGAUCCGUUGCAUGCGCAACCCUUGCGGUUUUAAGCACUUCUUUUCUUUAAGUUGUGCGUGAAGAUUCCACCCUCACUUCUUGGAGUUUAGAGAGAUUGUUGUAGUGCUCAUUUUGGUUGGAUCUUCAAGCAUUCUGGAGGGUCAUUGGGCCUGAAAUGCCGUCUGCUGAGUUACUUGCCGCAGCAGCCAAACUAACAGAAGCAGAAGCUGAAUUACGAGAAGCUGAGCUGGACGGAGACACUGAAUUAUUUAUAGGACCCCCUCCUCCUGCUGUGGUCACGGAAGCUGAAUCUGCCAAUGAAGCAGAACGUUUCGAGGAGGUU
This is a non-coding RNA of Sesamum indicum (sesame), 477 nucleotides long. The record is from RefSeq and is a predicted model, not a curated record. NCBI's taxonomy places the organism in Eukaryota, Viridiplantae, Streptophyta, Magnoliopsida, Lamiales, Pedaliaceae.